This 173-nucleotide non-coding RNA is filed under the name Gimesia panareensis. Lineage: Bacteria; Pseudomonadati; Planctomycetota; Planctomycetia; Planctomycetales; Planctomycetaceae. The record is from RNAcentral.
UCUGUCGCAAGUCAGGGGCUGAAGGCAGCGUCAUAGCAAAUCCACGACUCGACGAAGAGGAAUCGGAUAGUAGGCAGUGCAGAUGGGACGAGUUCGCUAAACAGAACGAAGUCCUCCCUCCAUCAAAGGUCUGUGCUGUAAAUCCGGCGAGUGCGUGGUGAAAGUCGAGGAAC